This 495-nucleotide ribosomal RNA is filed under the name uncultured bacterium. Its description in RNAcentral is "partial 16S ribosomal RNA". It matches the Rfam family "Bacterial small subunit ribosomal RNA", at positions 28 to 507 of the family's 1533-position model. The record is from RNAcentral.
GACGAACGCUGGCGGCGUGCCUAAUACAUGCAAGUAGAACGCUGAAGGAGGAGCUUGCUUCUCUGGAUGAGUUGCGAACGGGUGAGUAACGCGUAGGUAACCUGCCUGGUAGCGGGGGAUAACUAUUGGAAACGAUAGCUAAUACCGCAUAAUAGUAGAUGUUGCAUGACAUUUGCUUAAAAGGUGCAAUUGCAUCACUACCAGAUGGACCUGCGUUGUAUUAGCUAGUUGGUGAGGUAACGGCUCACCAAGGCAACGAUACAUAGCCGACCUGAGAGGGUGAUCGGCCACACUGGGACUGAGACACGGCCCAGACUCCUACGGGAGGCAGCAGUAGGGAAUCUUCGGCAAUGGACGGAAGUCUGACCGAGCAACGCCGCGUGAGUGAAGAAGGUUUUCGGAUCGUAAAGCUCUGUUGUAAGAGAAGAACGAGUGUGAGAGUGGAAAGUUCACACUGUGACGGUAACUUACCAGAAAGGGACGGCUAACUACGUG